Gaeumannomyces graminis is the source of this 72-nucleotide transfer RNA. It matches the Rfam family "tRNA". From Rfam's summary of the family: Transfer RNA (tRNA) molecules are approximately 80 nucleotides in length. Their secondary structure includes four short double-helical elements and three loops (D, anti-codon, and T loops). Further hydrogen bonds mediate the characteristic L-shaped molecular structure. tRNAs have two regions of fundamental functional importance: the anti-codon, which is responsible for specific mRNA codon recognition, and the 3' end, to which the tRNAs corresponding amino acid is attached (by aminoacyl-tRNA synthetases). tRNAs cope with the degeneracy of the genetic code in two manners: having more than one tRNA (with a specific anti-codon) for a particular amino acid; and 'wobble' base-pairing, i.e. permitting non-standard base-pairing at the 3rd anti-codon position. The record is from Rfam. NCBI's taxonomy places the organism in Eukaryota, Fungi, Ascomycota, Sordariomycetes, Magnaporthales, Magnaporthaceae.
GGUCGUAUAGCGCAAUGGUAACGCGUUUGCUUUCGUAGCGGGAAGUUUUGGGUUCGACCCCCGGUGCGACUU